UACCAGACUCCUACGGGAGGCAGCAGUGGGGGAUAUUGCACAAUGGGGGGAACCCUGAUGCAGCGACGCCGCGUGGGUGAAGGAGUAUUUCGGUAUGUAAAGCCCUAUCGGCAGGGAAGAAGCAAGACAGUACCUGACUAAGAAGCCCCGGCUAACUACGUGCCAGCAGCCGCGGUAAUACGUAGGGGGCAAGCGUUAUCCGGAUUUACUGGGUGUAAAGGGGGCGCAGACGGCGAUGCAAGCCAGGAGUGAAAGCCCGGGGCCCAACCCCGGGACUGCUCUUGGAACUGCGUGGCUGGAGUGCAGGAGGGGCAGGCGGAAUUCCUGGUGUAGCGGUGAAAUGCGUAGAUAUCAGGAGGAACACCGGUGGCGAAGGCGGCCUGCUGGACUGCAACUGACGUUGAGGCCCGAAAGCGUGGGGAGCAAACAGGAUUAGAUACCCGUGUA
This 447-nucleotide ribosomal RNA is filed under the name uncultured bacterium. Its description in RNAcentral is "bacterial SSU rRNA". It matches the Rfam family "Bacterial small subunit ribosomal RNA", at positions 329 to 792 of the family's 1533-position model. The record is from RNAcentral.